AUCUACGACCAAACUGCCCUGAUCCUGGAAGCUCAGCAGGGUCAGGCCUGGCCAGUACUUUGAUGGGAGACGGCCUAGGAAUUGCGAGUGCUGUAGGCA
Ribosomal RNA from Chlorocebus sabaeus (green monkey), 99 nucleotides. The record is from Ensembl. NCBI's taxonomy places the organism in Eukaryota, Metazoa, Chordata, Mammalia, Primates, Cercopithecidae.